RNAcentral lists this long non-coding RNA (3225 nucleotides) under Nicotiana benthamiana. Its description in RNAcentral is "long non-coding RNA (NBEN_LNC038063)". The record is from RNAcentral. Lineage: Eukaryota; Viridiplantae; Streptophyta; Magnoliopsida; Solanales; Solanaceae.
UAAUCUUUCAGUUUGUUUGUUUAUAUGUAUUCGUGAUAAUAUGCUGCAUUUUACUUAGUAUUUUUUUGUGCAUAUAUUUGUUAGCAACUAUCUAAUGAGUCUUGGUUCAUUUCUUGCGUAGUUUAAAUAUUUUGUAGGAGUGCCUGGUUUAUGAUUCAUCUAGGAGGAAAAAAUUCUGCCAUUUCUCUGUUUUUUUAAAGAAAAUUUGCGAGUGACUGUUUGGUAAUCAUUGUGUGUUCUUAUUGGGUAAAUCUCUUAUCUUUUAUUCUGAAUACUACAAAGAUCUCUGUUUUUUGUAUGUAUGUGUGUGUAUGUGUUUAGCAUUUGAACCAGGGACUGCAGAUUGGAAAAUCCCAGUUCAUUGGCUUAGGAUCGUUCUUCUGGGGCUCAUGGCAUAUCUGUUGAAUUUUGUCUGAUAUUUCUGGUGAUUUUUCUACUUCCAUUAAGUAACAAGAGUUCGUUUUCCCAUGGGGUAUAAGUGGAUCUAUUUGCAGUUGUCCAAUGCAUCUUCAUAGCUUGAUUCAAUAUACUGUUUAGUGUGGUUUAUGUCCCCUGUACUUUGAAAGUAAUUUGCUUACAAAUGUUUGCCCACAAGAAGAUUUAUAUGUUGGAAUCUUGAAUGAUUGAAUUGUACAUGGAUAUCUGUUCAGGUGUAUUGAGAGCUUCUUGGACGCAACAUGCUUUAAAUGGUUGUGCUGAUUUCCUGAUUGCAGACUGAAAUCUUUGUUGGCAUGGACUGCUGUACAUCUGUUGCUGCUUCACCUAUCUGCUCCUGCAACGUGCUUUAAAUGGUUGUGCUGAUUUCCUGAUUGCAGACUGAAAUCUUUGUUGGCAUGGACUGCUGUACAUCUGUUGCUGCUUCACCUAUCUGCUCCUAUGUGUGGCUGUUAGUUAAUAUUUGCUAGACUCAAGCUAGGACUAGGUUACUUUAAAAAUUGCUGUAUCGUUUGAUUAGUGUAUUGUGGAUUAUGUCAGUUUUGCUAUCUAAUAUUACCCGUACGUCCUGUUUCUUGUAUGUUUCUUAUCUGGCAAUCUUUCUAAUGAUCUGGAGAAUAUGGCAUUCUUCAAAGUCUUCUAUCAUGUUAUAUGAUAGCCAUUAUUGGCUUAGCUUUUUCAUAUGUAGACUAUGAGGGAUCUUUAUAUUCGAUGAUCUGAAACAAAAUAUUCCAUACAAACAAAAUCUCUAUAUUAUUUUAAUUUUAAUUAUAGUAUUUUAAAAUAAGAACAAUACUAAUUCAUACAUAUUUGGAGCGGUGAUUGGAAGAUUGAGAAGCACAAAAGUUUGUGGUAGUAAGUUCUAAAAUGAACACCGUUUGACUGGACUGCAUUUUCUAGUUGUCUCAAUAACUAGAGAAGAGAAGGGUCACUGAUUUGAAUCAAUAAUUUGAAGCAAGGGCAAUAUAUUCAUAUUGUUUUUAUUAGAGUUAUGUCCAUUAGCAUCUGGACUGGUGUUAGGGAGACUGGAAACUUGCAAAUGUUAUGUGGUAUCGAGAACCAAAUUCAGCUGUUUGCCAAUUGCCUGCAUUUUUUAGCUGUCUCAAUAACCAAGUGGCGUAGCUAUCACUUAUCGAAACAUAAAAGAAGAAAAUGAAAACUCUAGUUUGCUUUUCCUUUAAUCCCACCUUGUUUGGAUUUAUUGGAAUACAGUCCAGGAAAAAAUCCACUUAUUUUUGGGGAAUUAGUGUCAUUAUCAAUAUUGUUCUACCAUCUGAAGAUCCUUGUUACUUUUCUUCCUCUCCUGAUUUUCCUUGUUUUCUUUUGCGGGUGAACUUGGGAAAGGGAGAUAGUGUAAGUCAGUCGGGUUAACAAACACAUAAUGCAAGUGUGUCUGUGUGUGUUGUCUUGUGGGUGAUAGGGGUGGUUUGAUAUAUCAGUGACUUGAGCUUAGCAGAGUCCUGUAUACAUCACUAUGCUGUUGCUGUUUCCAGGAUUCGUGUUAGAUUGAACCUAAUACUAGCUUUGUACUUGCUCCAAAUUGAAGAGGCGUCAUUUGUGCCAUAGUUUUGGUUUUCACCAUUUAUCAAGCAUACUGGAUCUAUUUUCAGCUUAUUUGGUGGUUCCUGUUCAUGAUUUGCACUUGUAUUUGAGACCUAUUAUUGAAUCUAAGUGGUGAUGUAGACAAGAUUGCUUGUUCUUUGAAAAUUCCUAUACAUGAUGAGAAAGUGAUUGCUUGUUCUUUGAAAAUUGAAAUCGAGAUGGAUAUCUAUUAGUUUUGAGGGCAUAGAAUUAGUUUUGUUUUGAUUUCGACAUGCUAUUAGAAACAAGUUCCUAUUUUCAUCUUUCAUUGGCGCUGCUUGAGCAAUGUUCUUGGAAUUGUAUUAGAUCUAUUAUUGAAUCUAAGCAGUGAUGUAGACACGAUUGCUUGUUCUUUUUAAAUUCCUAGACAUAAUCAGAGAGUGAUUGCUUGUUCUUUGAAAUUGAAAUCAAGAUGGAUAUCUAUUCCUGCUAUGAUCUGUGGGUCUAUCCUGGUUGGCAUGAGGGCAUAGAAUUAGUUUUAUUGUGACUUCGACAUGCUAUUGGAAACAAGUUCCUGUUUUCAUCUUUCAUUGGCGCUGCUGGAGCAAUGUUCCUGGAAUUGUAUUAGAUUUUAUUCGCAGUCAAAAGGAUUAUGGAACAUACCAAUUUCUUGCUUAAGGUCACAUGUUGUAUUCACUUCUAAAAAAUAUUUCCAAAUUGGAUACCAGAUGUGUCAGAAACAAAGUUGUCACCCGUCUCAGUCUAAAGUUUUGGUUUUUUGGAUUUGAGUAAAUAUUUCUUUUGCGUAAUUGGAAAAGUUAUGCGUAGUUUUUUUUUUGGUUUUUUGUUUUUUAACCCAAUUGAGUUCCUCUGCUGCCUACCCUGCUGAUGUGGAAGUGUCGUCACCAGAACAAAAUCCUUUUCCUUGUUUUUUGGUGGCUCUCCACUCACCAUUGCAGAGGUGCAAUGGGGGUGGGGAGAGUGAAAGCUAUAUUGCAGGUACCAAGGUAUUGAAUUCUAAGAUAAUGACGGCUACUAAUUGGCGAAGAUCAAGGUGCGGUAGAUGAUGAAAAUGCUGAAUGGUGAGACGACCAGGCUCUAAGGCCAUAAAAGAAGAAAUUUGUAGUACUAGUUCUAGGACUAUAUUGUUGUACACUCUGAGCAAUAAGAAUAAAAUGUCAAAAGUUAGUUAAUCUUGGUGAACUUCAGCACAAUCUCAAUGCAGCUGUAUUCAGAAGCUUCCAUUAAUUGGUUUCUUCCUUUUUUCUA